GAAUGGGGCAGCUACACAUGCAAGUCGAGCGCGAAAGUUCCUUCGGGAGCGAGUAGAGCGGCGGACGGGUGAGUAACGCGUGGGAAAUUGCCCAGUAGUGGGGGACAACAACCGGAAACGGUUGCUAAUACCGCAUACGCCCUACGGGGGAAAGCGGGGGAUCUUCGGACCUCGUGCUAUUGGAUAUGCCCGCGUCGGAUUAGCUUGUUGGUGAGGUAACGGCUCACCAAGGCGACGAUCCGUAGCUGGUCUGAGAGGAUGAUCAGCCACACUGGGACUGAGACACGGCCCAGACUCCUACGGGAGGCAGCAGUGGGGAAUAUUGCACAAUGGGCGCAAGCCUGAUGCAGCCAUGCCGCGUGUGUGAAGAAGGCCUUCGGGUUGUAAAGCACUUUCAGUAGGGAGGAAGGCCCUAAAGUUAAUACCUUUGGGGAUUGACGUUACCUACAGAAGAAGCACCGGCUAACUCCGUGCCAGCAGCCGCGGUAAU
Molecule: ribosomal RNA, 490 nt
Filed under: Microbulbifer maritimus
Lineage: Bacteria; Pseudomonadati; Pseudomonadota; Gammaproteobacteria; Cellvibrionales; Microbulbiferaceae
Description: bacterial SSU rRNA
Rfam family: Bacterial small subunit ribosomal RNA
Source: RNAcentral